CCUACGGGAGGCAGCAGUAGGGAAUCUUGCUCAAUGGGGGAAACCCUGAAGCAGCAACGCCGCGUGGAGGAUGAAGGUUUUCGGAUUGUAAACUCCUUUUGUUAGAGAAGAUAAUACCGGUAUGUAACUAUUCACCACCGGCUAAUUCCGUGCCAGCAGCCGCGGUCAUACGUAGGGUGCAAGCGUUACGCGGAAUCACUGGGGGUAAAGAGCGCGUAGGCGGGAUAGCAAGUCAGAUGUGAAAUCCUAUGGCUUAACCAUAGAACUGCAUUUGAAACUGUUAUACUAGAGUAUGGGAGAGGAAGGUGGAAUUCUAGGUGUAGGGGUAAAACGCGCAGAGAUCAAGAGGAAUACUCAUUGCGAAGGCGACCUGCUAGAAUGUAACUGACGCUGAUGCGCGAAAGCGUGGGGAGCAAACAGGAUUAGAUAUCCUUGUAGUC
This 440-nucleotide ribosomal RNA is filed under the name uncultured bacterium. Its description in RNAcentral is "partial 16S ribosomal RNA". It matches the Rfam family "Bacterial small subunit ribosomal RNA", at positions 338 to 795 of the family's 1533-position model. The record is from RNAcentral.